GACGAACGCUGGCGGCGUGCUUAACACAUGCCAGUCGAACGGAAAGGCCCUGCUUGCAGGGUACUCGAGUGGCGAACGGGUGAGUAACACGUGGGUGAUCUGCCCUGCACUUCGGGAUAAGCCUGGGAAACUGGGUCUAAUACCGGAUAGGAGCCAUUUUUAGUGUGAUGGUUGGAAAGUUUUUUCGGUGUAGGAUGAGCUCGCGGCCUAUCAGCUUGUUGGUGGGGUAAUGGCCUACCAAGGCGGCGACGGGUAGCCGGCCUGAGAGGGUGGACGGCCACAUUGGGACUGAGAUACGGCCCAGACUCCUACGGGAGGCAGCAGUGGGGAAUAUUGCGCAAUGGGCGCAAGCCUGAUGCAGCGACGCCGCGUGGGGGAUGACGGCCUUCGGGUUGUAAACUCCUUUCGCUAGGGACGAAGCUUUUUGUGACGGUACCUAGAGAAGAAGCACCGGCUAACUACGUG
RNAcentral lists this ribosomal RNA (465 nucleotides) under uncultured bacterium. Its description in RNAcentral is "partial 16S ribosomal RNA". It matches the Rfam family "Bacterial small subunit ribosomal RNA", at positions 28 to 507 of the family's 1533-position model. The record is from RNAcentral.